UGGGGAAUAUUGCACAAUGGGCGCAAGCCUGAUGCAGCCAUGCCGCGUGUGUGAAGAAGGCCUUCGGGUUGUAAAGCACUUUCAGCGAGGAGGAAGGGUAGUGUGUUAAUAGCACAUUGCAUUGACGUUACUCGCAGAAGAAGCACCGGCUAACUCCGUGCCAGCAGCCGCGGUAAUACGGAGGGUGCAAGCGUUAAUCGGAAUUACUGGGCGUAAAGCGCACGCAGGCGGUUUGUUAAGUCAGAUGUGAAAUCCCCGCGCUUAACGUGGGAACUGCAUUUGAAACUGGC
This 290-nucleotide ribosomal RNA is filed under the name uncultured bacterium. RNAcentral's name for it is "partial 16S ribosomal RNA". It matches the Rfam family "Bacterial small subunit ribosomal RNA", at positions 355 to 637 of the family's 1533-position model. The record is from RNAcentral.